UGCUGCAGAAUUUCGCGGUCUGAAAGAAUUGGCUGCCCAUGCCCUGACUGCAUUAAC
Molecule: transfer RNA, 57 nt
Filed under: Eutreptiella gymnastica
Lineage: Eukaryota; Euglenozoa; Euglenophyceae; Eutreptiales; Eutreptiaceae
Source: RNAcentral